GCCGGAAUAGCUCAGUUAGGCAGAGCAACUGAUUCGUAAUCAGUAGGUCCGCAGUUCGAAUCUGCGUUCCGGCACCA
RNAcentral lists this transfer RNA (77 nucleotides) under Gammaproteobacteria bacterium. Its description in RNAcentral is "tRNA-Thr". It matches the Rfam family "tRNA". Rfam says of the family: Transfer RNA (tRNA) molecules are approximately 80 nucleotides in length. The record is from RNAcentral. Lineage: Bacteria; Pseudomonadati; Pseudomonadota; Gammaproteobacteria.